AACGAACGCUGGCGGCAGGCCUAACACAUGCAAGUCGAACGCUCGUAGCAAUACGGGAGUGGCAGACGGGUGCGUAACGCGUGGGAACAUACCCUUUGGUUCGGAAUAACUCAGGGAAACUUGAGCUAAUACCGGAUACGCCCGAGAGGGGAAAGAUUUAUUGCCGAAGGAUUGGCCCGCGUCUGAUUAGCUUGUUGGUAGGGUAACGGCCUACCAAGGCGACGAUCAGUAGCUGGUCUGAGAGGAUGAUCAGCCACACUGGGACUGAGACACGGCCCAGACUCCUACGGGAGGCAGCAGUGGGGAAUAUUGGACAAUGGGCGCAAGCCUGAUCCAGCCAUGCCGCGUGAGUGAUGACGGCCCUAGGGUUGUAAACCUCUGUCAUGGGGGAAGAAGUAAGUGACGGUACCCCAAGAGGAAGCCCCUGCUAACUACGUG
RNAcentral lists this ribosomal RNA (438 nucleotides) under uncultured bacterium. RNAcentral describes it as "bacterial SSU rRNA". It matches the Rfam family "Bacterial small subunit ribosomal RNA", at positions 29 to 507 of the family's 1533-position model. The record is from RNAcentral.